Molecule: transfer RNA, 75 nt
Filed under: Aquisphaera giovannonii
Lineage: Bacteria; Pseudomonadati; Planctomycetota; Planctomycetia; Isosphaerales; Isosphaeraceae
Description: tRNA-Phe
Rfam family: tRNA
About the family: Transfer RNA (tRNA) molecules are approximately 80 nucleotides in length. Their secondary structure includes four short double-helical elements and three loops (D, anti-codon, and T loops). Further hydrogen bonds mediate the characteristic L-shaped molecular structure. tRNAs have two regions of fundamental functional importance: the anti-codon, which is responsible for specific mRNA codon recognition, and the 3' end, to which the tRNAs corresponding amino acid is attached (by aminoacyl-tRNA synthetases). tRNAs cope with the degeneracy of the genetic code in two manners: having more than one tRNA (with a specific anti-codon) for a particular amino acid; and 'wobble' base-pairing, i.e. permitting non-standard base-pairing at the 3rd anti-codon position.
Source: RNAcentral
CGGACAGUAGCUCAGGAGUAGAGCGGCAGGUUGAAGCCCUGCGCGUCGGUGGUGCGAAUCCAUCCUGUCCGGCCA